GACGAACGCUGGCGGCGUGCUUAACACAUGCAAGUCGAACGGAAAGGCCCUGCUUUUGUGGGGUGCUCGAGUGGCGAACGGGUGAGUAACACGUGAGUAACCUGCCCUUGACUUUGGGAUAACUUCAGGAAACUGGGGCUAAUACCGGAUAGGAGCUCCUGCUGCAUGGUGGGGGUUGGAAAGUUUCGGCGGGUGGGGUUGGACUCGCGGCUUAUCAGCUUGUUGGUGGGGUAGUGGCUUACCAAGGCUUGGACGGGUAGCCGGCCUGGGAGGGUGAACGGCGUCAUUGGGACUGAGAGACGGACCAGACUCGUACGGGAGGCAGCAGUGGGGAAUAUUGUACAAUGGGCGGGAGCCUGAUGCAGAGACCCCGCGUGCGGGAUGACGGCCUUCGGGUUGUAAACCGCUUUCGCCUGUGACGAAGCGGGCGUGACGGUAAUGGGUAAAGAAGCACCGGCUAACUACGUG
RNAcentral lists this ribosomal RNA (468 nucleotides) under uncultured bacterium. Its description in RNAcentral is "partial 16S ribosomal RNA". It matches the Rfam family "Bacterial small subunit ribosomal RNA", at positions 28 to 507 of the family's 1533-position model. The record is from RNAcentral.